RNAcentral lists this ribosomal RNA (310 nucleotides) under uncultured bacterium. RNAcentral describes it as "bacterial SSU rRNA". It matches the Rfam family "Bacterial small subunit ribosomal RNA", at positions 29 to 330 of the family's 1533-position model. The record is from RNAcentral.
AACGAACGCUGGCGGCGCGCCUAACACAUGCAAGUCGAACGAGAAUCCGGGGCAACCCGGUAGUAAAGUGGCAAACGGGUGAGGAAUACAUGGGUAACCUACCCUUGAGAAGGGAAUAACCCGCCGAAAGGUGAGCUAAUACCCUAUACGCUAUCUUUUUUUCGAAAAGGAUAGGAAAGCCGGGUCGAGGACCUGGUACUCAAGGAGGGGCUCAUGUCCUAUCAGCUUGUUGGUGGGGUAACGCCUACCAAGGCUACGACGGGUAGGCUGGUCUGAGAGGAUGAUCAGCCACAUGGCACUGAGAUACGGG